Clupea harengus (Atlantic herring) is the source of this 340-nucleotide long non-coding RNA. RefSeq lists it as uncharacterized. The record is from RefSeq and is a predicted model, not a curated record. The transcript is spliced from 3 exons. Lineage: Eukaryota; Metazoa; Chordata; Actinopteri; Clupeiformes; Clupeidae.
GUGAGUUGAUUGGACUUGUUGUCCUAAGAGAAGGAUCAUCUUCUUAUGACACUGAUUGUGGUCAAAGACAAAGACAAAACACUGUUGCCAUUGUAGCUGGUGUUGCAGUCCUAGCUGCUACAUGUGGGGCUGUGGUAUUUAUAUAUCAUAGAAGGAAGAGAGAAAAUAAAAGCUUAACAAGAAGGGUGUGAUGAGACUGGUCUGAAUGGCUCAUGGCCAUAUUAAUAAUGGUGACGGUGCUUAUGGAACAGACUGAACCAGACAGGACUGCCAAAUGACCCGUUCUCCUUCUGGACCAACUGACCACAGUGCCACCUCUCUAUUACUGCUGUGCUACACC